RNAcentral lists this unclassified non-coding RNA (218 nucleotides) under uncultured Tomentella. RNAcentral describes it as "sequence contains ITS2". Lineage: Eukaryota; Fungi; Basidiomycota; Agaricomycetes; Thelephorales; Thelephoraceae. The record is from RNAcentral.
ACAUCUCAACUCUCACACUUUGCUGUGAUGAGCUUGGACUUUUGGGGGUUUUGCUGGCCUACGGUCAGCUCCUCUGAAACAGAUCAGCUUGCCAGUAUUUGGUGGCGUCACAGGUGUGAUAACUAUCUACGCUUGUGAUUGUUUGCCAAGCAACCUUUGGCGACGAAGGUUUGCUGGAGCUCAUAAAUGUCUCUCCUCAGCGAAGACAGCUUUUGACC